UAAGAAGGGGCUUCUGCUAAAUUCAUGCAUGUCCUGUGCACAACGCAGAAACCAUCGCAUUCUGAGGA
This 68-nucleotide small RNA is filed under the name Sporolactobacillus laevolacticus DSM 442. RNAcentral describes it as "Bacillaceae-1 RNA". It matches the Rfam family "Bacillaceae-1 RNA". Lineage: Bacteria; Bacillati; Bacillota; Bacilli; Caryophanales; Sporolactobacillaceae. The record is from Rfam by way of RNAcentral.